RNAcentral lists this ribosomal RNA (253 nucleotides) under uncultured bacterium. RNAcentral's name for it is "partial 16S ribosomal RNA". It matches the Rfam family "Bacterial small subunit ribosomal RNA", at positions 524 to 776 of the family's 1533-position model. The record is from RNAcentral.
UACGAAGGGGGCUAGCGUUGCUCGGAAUCACUGGGCGUAAAGGGUGCGUAGGCGGGUAUUUAAGUCAGGGGUGAAAUCCUGGAGCUCAACUCCAGAACUGCCUUUGAUACUGAAGAUCUUGAGUCCGGGAGAGGUGAGUGGAACUGCGAGUGUAGAGGUGAAAUUCGUAGAUAUUCGCAAGAACACCAGUGGCGAAGGCGGCUCACUGGCCCGGUACUGACGCUGAGGCACGAAAGCGUGGGGAGCAAACAGG